Molecule: ribosomal RNA, 253 nt
Filed under: uncultured bacterium
Lineage: Bacteria
Description: partial 16S ribosomal RNA
Rfam family: Bacterial small subunit ribosomal RNA
Source: RNAcentral
GACGUAGGGCGCGAGCGUUGUCCGGAUUUAUUGGGCGUAAAGAGCUCGUAGGCGGCUUGUUGCGUCGGCUGUGAAAACCCAUGGCUCAACCGUGGGCUUGCAGCCGAUACGGGCAGGCUAGAGUUCGGUAGGGGAGACUGGAAUUCCUGGUGUAGCGGUGAAAUGCGCAGAUAUCAGGAGGAACACCGAAGGCGAAGGCAGUGUCCUGGCGCGUAACUGACGCUGAGGUGCGAAAGCCAGGGGAGCGAACGGG